This 282-nucleotide long non-coding RNA is filed under the name Bos mutus (wild yak). Its description in RNAcentral is "lncRNA (ENSBMUG00000016596.1)". The record is from RNAcentral. Lineage: Eukaryota; Metazoa; Chordata; Mammalia; Artiodactyla; Bovidae.
AUGAAACCUCGCGCCUGUGCGGUUGUGGGGAGAGGUGGAGGGGUGCCUUCUCAGGACCCCCCUCUGAGCCCAGAGAAGGUGCUGCAGUGGGAGAGCCUGGGAAAGCUGGUGCAGCCGGAGCCUAUGGCCUCGUGGGGGGACUCUCCCCACUCCGCAGCCCCACCGUGAAGGUGAGAGCCGGACCUGGCCACAAUGGACACUGGGCUUUGGCUGGACAGACACAGGGAUGAAUGAACCAGUAAUGAAUGAAUGAAUAAAUGAAUGGAAAGGGAAAGUUUCUCA